This 440-nucleotide ribosomal RNA is filed under the name uncultured bacterium. Its description in RNAcentral is "partial 16S ribosomal RNA". It matches the Rfam family "Bacterial small subunit ribosomal RNA", at positions 338 to 795 of the family's 1533-position model. The record is from RNAcentral.
CCUACGGGAGGCAGCAGUGGGGAAUAUUGCACAAUGGGGGAAACCCUGAUGCAGCGACGCCGCGUGAGUGAAGAAGUAUUUCGGUAUGUAAAGCUCUAUCAGCAGGGAAGAAAAUGACGGUACCUGAUUAAGAAGCACCGGCUAACUACGUGCCAGCAGCCGCGGCAAUACGUAGGGGGCAAGCGGUAUCCGGAUUUACUGGGUGGAAAGGGAGGGUAGACGGCAGCACAAGUCUGGAGUGAAAUGCCGGGGCUUAACCCCGGAACUGCUUUGGAAACUGUGCAGCUAGAGUGCAGGAGAGGUAAGUGGAAUUCCUAGUGUAGCGGUGAAAUGCGUAGAUAUUAGGAGGAACACCAGUGGCGAAGGCGGCUUGCUGGACUGUAACUGACGUUGAGGCUCGAAAGCGUGGGGAGCAAACAGGAUUAGAUACCCUAGUAGUC